CACUGCCCCGCAGCCGCGCGCUCUCUGCAGUGACGGCAACCGCAACCGCAGCAGCACCUAGUUCCAGCCUCACCAGCCUGGCCCGAGCCGCAGCUGGCGGUACCCGGGCAAUUCAGGCUGAAGUCGACGAGCAGAAGGCGUGCUGGUGCUCCAAGCCCCCCAUGGCAUUGGCCGAAGCGCAAGAAACCGCAAGUGGGCUAGCCACGGUGUUGCACCGUGGGGACCGAGAAGAAGGGGACAGGAGAACAUGAAGCGAUGCAGGCAGGUGUAGGAUUGAGCCCCUGAGUCCGCCCAAAGGACUUUGGCAGGGCCUGGGUGGCCAGGGUGGCUUCAAGGGGUCCGAGGGCUCUGACUGCUGCUGUUGCGGCGCGUGUGGGUGCGACGAAAGCGCCCCCUUCUCCCAAGACCUAAACGGAUAAACGGAAGCGCUUGUAAGUGUGGGGGGUGCGAAUCGCCACCUCCGGCCUGGCUUUCCCGCUCUUGAGAGCACCCCCACUUCUCACUUUCCCCAAAUCCGCAUUUUCCUUGGCACAGCCCUCGCGAACACCGAGGAGAGGGAGGUGCCCGGGGGCAGUGAGAGUGACGUGUGCUGGUGCAGAGGGGGUGGGGGGCUGCGGGCCGGGCUCUGUGGACCGACUCCUAAUCCUCUUGUUUUCGGAACCGUCAGCAGAUGUGGCUUCUCUUAGCUGAAUAAUCCGUUAAAGGAAUAAUAAUUUUUUUUAAAGGACCUCGGCCUCACCCAACGAGGACAGUGAAGGAGAUCAGCGCUUGUAGCUCUGCCUUUGGUUUGGACUGGCUGAAACAUUGCAGACUGCAACCAAUGUCUUUUAAAGGCGAACAAAAAGAUGAAGAUCUUGUGUGGACUCCCGGACAAAGCGUCUUGGGCUUGGCGACGAGGGACGCGCGGAACUCUUGCUCCCGCACUGGAGAAAUCAACACUGCCCAAAAGCACCCCGCGGGAGCUGCAGACCUCUGAGGCGAAAGGACCGCUGCAGGAGAGUUCCGGAAGGCUGAUUCCCACAGAUCCUGGACAAGGGCCGCUGCAGCUCAGCCCUGCGGCACGCCCGGCCAGGCUGCCCCAGGACUCUUAACACUCAAGGUAAAAACCCGCAGCCACACGCCCUGCCUAGGCAGCGGUUGCCGAGCCAUUGCUUGCCAUCCCUUUCCUCAACGUCUUCUCCCUCCCUUUGGCCCCCCUCAGUUUCCUAGGCGAAGCUGAAAGCGAAUUGGGUGGGUAUGACUCGCGGCGGUGGGGCGAGGUGGGGUUGAUGUUUUUUCAUUGUCUGGAACUGCAGGGGAGACGAAGCGAGCGGAAAGGAGUGAGGGAGUCGGGGUAAUUAACACGGGGGGGAGGCACCCCUCCGUCUCCCACUUCCACCCACACCCCGAACCCUCCACCCCCUCCCCCUUUGCAGGGAAAAGCCUGGAAACGAAAGGAUGCGGGAGAACAAAGAGCCUUCGGAGGACGUGGCUGUUAUCUCAUUGUCUGCGACUGAGGGAGCUGCGGUAGGAAGGAUGCGGUGGUCCUUAGCUCAUCGCGUUCCCUAACCCCACACCCUCCCUGCUGUCAGUGCUCACGCACACCACGCGUCGCCAGCUUUUUCUUUCUCAUUCCUCGUUUUUUCAUUCCAUCUUUUUCCCAUUCCCUGUCUUUCUUUCACCUUCCCUUCCUUCUUUCCUCCCUUCCUCUUCCCCCUCCCCUCUUGCCCUCCUCCCUCCCUCCCUCCUUCCUUCCUUCCUUCCUUCCUUCCUUCCUUCCUUCCUCAGGAGAAAGGCCUCUCUCUCCGUGUUCACAGCGGACCUUGAUUUAAAUGUCCAUACAAUUAAGGCACGCGGUGAAUGCCAAGAAUGGGGCUGUCUGAGCACCUUGGGUCCGCGAAGGCCCGCCACGGAAGGAUCGACCCAGCCCAACGCCCUGGGCAGAUUUCUGCGCUGCAGCUGCACGCGCCACAGGAGGGGUGGCAGGCUUCUGGGUGCCUCGCAUUGCAGCCUUUGGGUGCGGG
Acomys russatus (golden spiny mouse) is the source of this 2003-nucleotide long non-coding RNA. RefSeq lists it as uncharacterized. The record is from RefSeq and is a predicted model, not a curated record. The transcript has 3 exons. Lineage: Eukaryota; Metazoa; Chordata; Mammalia; Rodentia; Muridae.